RNAcentral lists this long non-coding RNA (585 nucleotides) under Carica papaya (papaya). Its description in RNAcentral is "long non-coding RNA (CPAP_LNC001521)". The record is from RNAcentral. Lineage: Eukaryota; Viridiplantae; Streptophyta; Magnoliopsida; Brassicales; Caricaceae.
GAGAGGUAAGGAAGUUUGAGUGGGGCUUCUGUCCGGGGAUCAAACAACAACUGUACGUAUUUGAGCUCAGCACCUACUCAGCCGUUUUGGCCAAAACACAACUAGUAGAGUGGAGCCUUCAUGUCUUCCCUAUAGCACUGGGGAAUCCCAGACCCCCAGUCUCACACCACAGACCAACACCCACAGUACCGGUUUAGCAGAACAAGAGGCUUAAGCUAGUGACUCAAGCUCCUCCUCAAGCUCCAACAACAUGAUCAUGGGGACCGACCCUACUAUCAUCUCAAUAAUAUCUGCUGCAUAUGUGGGAGUGCCCAACACUACGCGAGAGAGUACUCGUAAAAUCAGAAUCAGGUAAGACCUCCUAUAUAGGGCAGAGCUUACAACCUCACCCAGCAGGAUACUGAAGCUAACUUAGACGUGAUAUAGGUUACGUACACUAUCUAUGAUCACCUUACACAUGUUUUGAUUGAUACUGGUGCUUCACAUUCAUUUGUUUCAUAUGCUUUUGCAUAAAACUUAAAUUUAUUACUUAAGAGACUUGAUUCUGUGUUGUUUGUGUCAACUCUUGGAAGUAGGACACUACAA